GCGCGUGGACGACCUCGCGCUUUCAUCAUUUCGGCCGGGACGACCCGC
RNAcentral lists this non-coding RNA (48 nucleotides) under Devosia epidermidihirudinis. RNAcentral's name for it is "Guanidine-II sequence". It matches the Rfam family "Guanidine-II riboswitch aptamer (mini-ykkC)". Rfam says of the family: Simpler in structure and has fewer highly conserved nucleotide positions than the ykkC-yxkD leader. Despite this each of its two stem-loop structures directly bind free guanidine. Therefore, mini-ykkC RNA motif represents a distinct class of guanidine-sensing RNAs. The record is from Rfam by way of RNAcentral. Lineage: Bacteria; Pseudomonadati; Pseudomonadota; Alphaproteobacteria; Hyphomicrobiales; Devosiaceae.